This is a long non-coding RNA of Sebastes umbrosus (honeycomb rockfish), 208 nucleotides long. RefSeq lists it as uncharacterized. The record is from RefSeq and is a predicted model, not a curated record. The transcript is spliced from 2 exons. Lineage: Eukaryota; Metazoa; Chordata; Actinopteri; Perciformes; Sebastidae.
CAGUUAGAAUCUACGGCCCCGACCAUGACUCUGAAAUAUCAGUAAGUUAGAAUCUACGGCCCCGACCAUGGCUCUGAAAUAUCAGUAAAUUAGAAUCUAUGGCCCCGACCAUGGCUCUGAAAUAUCAGUUAGUUAGAAUCUACGGCCCUGACCAUGGUUCUGAAAUAUCAGUAAGUUAGAAUCUACGGCCCUGACCAUGGUUCUGAAA